This 422-nucleotide ribosomal RNA is filed under the name uncultured eukaryote. RNAcentral describes it as "eukaryotic LSU rRNA". It matches the Rfam family "Eukaryotic large subunit ribosomal RNA", at positions 1223 to 1645 of the family's 3401-position model. The record is from RNAcentral.
GUUGAUUCAUCUUGACAGUUGGACAGUGGCCAUGGAAGUCGGAAUCUGCUAAGGAGUGUGUAACAACUCACCAACCGAAUGAAUUAGCCCUGAAAAUGGAUGGCGCUUAAACGUAUUACUUAUACUUUACCAUUAAAAUAAAUGCUAAAUUUUAAUGAGUAGGAGGGCGUAUGGAUAAUUUAGAAGACUGGCAGUAAUGCUGGUUGGAAUUAUCUUUAGUGCAGAUCUUGGUGGUAGUAGCAAAUAUUCAAUAGAGAACAUUGAAGACUGAAGUGGAGAAAGGUUUCACAUGAACAACACUUGGAUGUGAGUUAGUCGAUCCUAAACGGUGGGUUAACUCCAAAUACAUAGAUACUUGUAUCUUGUACCGUGAAAGGGAAACAGGUUAAUAUUCCUGUACUAUAUCAAGGAGGUAAAGUGGC